CCUUGACUUUGGUAAAGUCAAAUCCUUUCUUCUGCCUUCCUGAGCAGUCGCUGUUCUCGCAGCAGACGAAAUGUUCGGCUCAGCUAACGGGUUGGUGACAAAACCACCCUGAACUCCAAACUUUUGCCUUCCCCACUUGUAAGAAGUUCUGCUCCCCUCCGAACUGUUUCGACCAUCAGAGACAGAAAAACUAGAAGAGUAUCUACUAGCAUCAUGACGCCUCCAGAAUUUUGGGUUCAGAAUGCAGCAUGAGUUGACAUGAGCUUCGCUGUUUGAUGUCCUUCCUGACGAGGCAGCUAAAUCUCGGGAGAUUUCAUCCAAUGCCAUCUCAAGUCCAUGUACCCUUGUCUCCAAAGAAUUCAUGCCAUUCUCAGAUUUCCCCAUAAAUUUCUGGAUAAGAUCUAGUAAACUGCUCUGCUGAUUUUCAAUCUGAAGCAGUUGUGACCGAAUCUCUGACAAUCCCUCGUCUUUGUAACCUGUCUGAAACCUCUCUGAUCCGCCACCAAUCUCAGAAAUUUCUUCCAUGUUACCACCCUCCUCAUAUGGAACGACUCGUGAUCCUGCUUUCAGUCCAGCCACCUUGGUCGCCCUGUCAUCGCCAUCCUGGAAAAGCAUCCUCCUUGCUUCCAAUCUUGAUCUCACAUUGCCUCCUUUCAGAAGCUUCUCCUCUGUCACCACUUUGAUUGGGGUGGCAUCUGGUGUAACAGCAAUGUCAACCUUGUAAUCACGGUUCUUCGCUUGGCCCGCCUUGCGAUAUGAAGGAGGUGAUUGCUUCUUGUUUCUAGCUGAUGAAGAGCUAUGCCUUUUGUUGACACUGGGUGAGGCAUCAGGAGGAGGCGACCUGCUUGCAGGUAGACUAUUCCUCCUGGUCGACGAUGCAACCGGAUAUCGCCCAUCACUUGCACUCCCUAUAGAAUCCAGCACAUGGCCAACUGUUCAGAAGAAGAUCGUCGUUGAGAGUGCGAUGCCGGUGGCGCACCGGAGGAGCAUUCGUCCUCUUCAACAUCCGGGAUCUCCUUCCAUGCCUCGAUCAUCCUGUUCAUCGAAUCUCGCACAAUCUUGACCUUGUCAAACCUCCUGGCCUCGAACAUGGUGAUGCAAGAAGAUUUGUAGCUGACGAGAAGAUCCUUAUGUUCUAAGGCCAAUGCAGCAAGAGCCUCGGCCGCGGCCUUUCUCGCCGCCCAGUCGUCGCUGGCGAUUGUGUCGCGGAGGCACGGGACAGAGGCGGUGACUUCAGCGGCGCCGGCCGCGGAUGCAGAGACGCCAAUGAGAGAGAUGAGCGCGGGCUUGGCUUUGAAGGCAUUGCUGCGGAGGAGCUUGAGGAGGCGGGGUUGGAGCUUGUGGAUGUAGGAAGCGAGGUCGGCGGUGGGGGCCGAGGCCUCGACGGCGGCGGCCGUGGCGAGC
Molecule: small RNA, 1404 nt
Filed under: Oryza sativa Japonica Group (Japanese rice)
Lineage: Eukaryota; Viridiplantae; Streptophyta; Magnoliopsida; Poales; Poaceae
Description: sRNA Os02g0740001
Source: RNAcentral